This is a long non-coding RNA of Neopelma chrysocephalum (saffron-crested tyrant-manakin), 1292 nucleotides long. RefSeq lists it as uncharacterized. Lineage: Eukaryota; Metazoa; Chordata; Aves; Passeriformes; Pipridae. The transcript has 4 exons. The record is from RefSeq and is a predicted model, not a curated record.
GUUCAUCUAGUCCAACUCUCUGCACGAAGCAUUUACAAUUAGAUGGUGUUCACACCCUUUCCCAGCAGCUCCAAUUGCCAGACAAUGUUGAAGGUCUGAUGUCAAGCCAUGAAGCAGAGGCUACAGGCCAGAAUCUAGCCAUGGAACAGGUGCUGACAAAAAAGCAAGCUUGAGGGCCUCAGCUCCCAAGAUAAGAGACAGCAUGAAUUCCAGGCUCUACCUGAAUUCCUGUGCUCAAUCUCAGGUAAUCACUUAAUACAAAAACAGGCCAUGCUGAAUUAGAACAUCUCAGGAAAGAGAAAGGCUUUUUUCCUCUGUCUCAAUCCUGAAUUCCAGUCCCCACCUACAUUCUGAAGUCAGGCAGACUUGGUUUGAAUAUGGACUGCAUUAAAUUUGGGGCAAUUGUUCUUCUCUGAUGAAGGUGCAGUGAGAGGAGAGUUUUCUUUUCCUAGCAGUGGAAGGUGAAGAAAUAAGAGCUGGCCAGUGAAUCUGUCUGUUCCACAUUUGGGGGAAUAUAUUAGAGUCCCCAGCCUUCCAGAUACUGUGCUGUCUACUUUAUUUCCUAGCUGUUUUCCUGUGCCCUCUCAUGCUAUUAAAUGUUUCUGACUCUGUGACUUGGAAAGAAUCUAGGAGAUGGGAUGAAGACAAAACUGAAGUUUAAGCAGUUUAAGAGUCUUUAUGAUAACUUGGCCAUUCUCAGACUGAAGGCUUAUGACAGAGGCAUCAGCUUCCUCCAUAGAUGUUGUGGUCAGAAGAGGCCAUUGUAUGCUUCCGUUCGGAUCCAUAUGAACCAGAGAUUCUUGCUCAGCAUUGCCGUAGUUAUUGAGCAGAACUACUGUGCUCAUUGGCUCAUUUUGGCAUCUACAAGGACAUUAUAUGCUCUAGGAGGAGCCUCUCUUGAUAUAGUGCAACCUAAAAGCUCUGACUGGUACUUCCUAGCAAAUCUCAGUGUGAGAGAUGACGAGGGCUGUGUUUAAUUUAUCAGCCUGUGAACCAUACGGUGUAGGGACCAGCACACGUUCACUGCUGCCAUUCCCACAAUCAAUAACACCCAGAAAAGGGCUCAUGGAUGCUGGUGACCUGAGAGAUUUAAAUGCCUCCAGCUUCCUUCAUCAAAAGAUUAGGACCAGAGACAAAAUUCUUACAUUAGAGUUAAUGAGAAGAACGAAAGACCCUUUGGGACAUGUUGGUCCAAAAACUGCAAUUCAUCUUUGCCCACUGAGAGAGCAGGCAAUGCUGGAGAAUAUAAAAUGGUAGAAUUGUUAAGGCUGAAAAAGACCUUUAAGAUUGAG